Molecule: non-coding RNA, 78 nt
Organism: Potamilus streckersoni
Lineage: Eukaryota; Metazoa; Mollusca; Bivalvia; Unionida; Unionidae
Source: the annotation of a GenBank genome assembly
GCACUGGUGGCUUAAGUGGUUAGAACGUCCGCCUCGGAUGCAGGAGAUCACGGGUUAGAAUCCCCGUCGAGUCAUACU